Gigaspora rosea is the source of this 73-nucleotide non-coding RNA. The record is from the annotation of a GenBank genome assembly. NCBI's taxonomy places the organism in Eukaryota, Fungi, Glomeromycota, Glomeromycetes, Diversisporales, Gigasporaceae.
GUGCUUGUAGCUCAACAGAUAGAGUGCUUGGUUUCGACCCAAGAAGUUGUGGGUGCAAAUCCUGCCAAGCACA